This is a long non-coding RNA of Apis dorsata (giant honeybee), 251 nucleotides long. RefSeq lists it as uncharacterized. The record is from RefSeq and is a predicted model, not a curated record. Lineage: Eukaryota; Metazoa; Arthropoda; Insecta; Hymenoptera; Apidae. The transcript is spliced from 2 exons.
CUUACCAGAUUGCAAGAUUGCAAUAGACAAAAUGGAUCAAAGUACCCCUUUGUUUAUUUUAAAAAGGUGAAAAAGAUUUCUCUCGCUAGCCAACUGGUCCCAGGUGUGUACACUGGGAGCGUGGCAGACGCGUGCUUCUCCCCUCUUUAACCUCAGACGAAGGCAGUUGGUCUUACUUGCUUUUUCAUUCUUUCUACUAAUAUACUAUACAUAUACAUUAUACUUAAAAUAAAUACAUAAAUGUCAUGCUA